Piliocolobus tephrosceles (Ugandan red Colobus) is the source of this 1146-nucleotide long non-coding RNA. Lineage: Eukaryota; Metazoa; Chordata; Mammalia; Primates; Cercopithecidae. The record is from Ensembl.
UACACAAUAUGUAUAUGCAUGUAUGUGUGUGCAUCGUGUUUCCAUGGUCAGCCAUUAUGUUUUAUGUAUUCCUUCGGACUUUCAAAAUUGCUAUAUAUUUAUAUGUGAAUAAUUAAUAAUCUUGCAUAUAUAUAUAUAUAUAUAACAUAUUUAUAUCGUUUUUCUCAUCCUCCCCCUCUUUUAGGAAAAAAAAAAAAAAAAAAAGCAAUAAAAAAAAAGCAGACAACCAUAGCAGCAAUGAUGAUAAAAAAAAAAAUAAACAUGCUAAUAAAAAACAUACGUCAAGUAAAUAUGAAGAAAAAGACAAAUUAAAUAUAUUAAGCAAAAAAGAUGACAUAAAUAAUAAACAAAAAAUAAAAAAAGAAUUGAACAAAAACGAAACAAAUAAAACAAAGGAUAUAAAAAACAAAACAAAACAAAAAGAAACGGAAAACGAAAAUAAAAAUAGUGACGACGACAAGGAAGAAAAAAAAAAAGAGAGCAAAGGUUCAGAAGAAAGAAGGGUUUACAUUCAUUUAGAAAGCCCAUUAUCAAUUUUAACAUGUGGAGGAUUGAUAAGCUCUAAAAAACUAAUUGAAGCUCAAACCGUUUUAAUUGAAAACAAUAAAAGAUUAGAAAAGGCAAAAAAUAACUGUUCUGUAAACAAUACCAAGACAAAAGAUGUAGAUAAUAAUAGCUGUGAAAAAGAAGAAAAGGAACAUAAUAAAAAAAACAAGAAAAAAACAAACUCUUUUUUAUUUUCAAACUCCUUGGCAGUUGAAGUAGACCUCAGUAGUUGUUUUUUUUUUCAUUCUUCUUUUACUUGUCCUAUAAGUCGCGACAGGUCAACAAAAACAAACCCACCUUAUUUAUUAACUUGUGGCCACGCAAUUUGCAAGUAAGAACAUUGAGUAUAUAUAUGUAUAUUUAAAAAUAUUUAAUUUUUUAAAAAAAAGAUAUAAUAGUACAUUAUGUUUUUCAUAUAUGAGCACAUGCAAUUUUUUUUUUUUUUUUUUAUUCACCCAAUUUUUAGAAAUUGUUUAGACAAAAUUCACAUUCAAAAAUCCAGACAAUUCAAAUGUCCCAUGUGUCCUAAGUAUUUAUUUUUAUCUGAUGUAAGAACAAUUAAAUUUUUUUUUUAAAAAUAAUAUCGUGUAUAUGUAUAUA